AGCCAAGGAGUUGAUGUUGUUGUAGGGGGGGAUUGGGGAGGACCCUUUCACAGUCCUGCAGUCUCUAAGAGUUGAGUUGUUUGGGAAUGCAGCUCAAAGUGGGUGGUAAAUUCCAUCUAAGGCUAAAUAUAGGUGAGAGACCAAUAGCAAACAAGUAAAAGUUCUU
This 166-nucleotide non-coding RNA is filed under the name Puccinia triticina 1-1 BBBD Race 1. RNAcentral describes it as "Eukaryotic large subunit ribosomal RNA". It matches the Rfam family "Eukaryotic large subunit ribosomal RNA", at positions 202 to 358 of the family's 3401-position model. Lineage: Eukaryota; Fungi; Basidiomycota; Pucciniomycetes; Pucciniales; Pucciniaceae. The record is from Rfam by way of RNAcentral.